Molecule: ribosomal RNA, 662 nt
Filed under: uncultured Actinomycetes bacterium
Lineage: Bacteria; Bacillati; Actinomycetota; Actinomycetes
Description: SSU rRNA
Rfam family: Bacterial small subunit ribosomal RNA
Source: RNAcentral
CUUGUUGGUGGGGUGAUGGCCUACCAAGGCGACGACGGGUAGCCGGCCUGAGAGGGCGACCGGCCACACUGGGACUGAGACACGGCCCAGACUCCUACGGGAGGCAGCAGUGGGGAAUAUUGCGCAAUGGGCGGAAGCCUGACGCAGCGACGCCGCGUGGGGGAUGACGGCCUUCGGGUUGUAAACCUCUUUCGACUUCGACGAAGCCUUCGGGUGACGGUAGGGGUGGAAGAAGCACCGGCCAACUACGUGCCAGCAGCCGCGGUAACACGUAGGGUGCGAGCGUUGUCCGGAAUUAUUGGGCGUAAAGAGCUCGUAGGCGGUGUGUCGCGUCGGCCGUGAAAACCUGUGGCUUAACUAUGGCUUGCGGUCGAUACGGGCAUCACUGGAGUUCGGCAGGGGAGACUGGAAUUCCUGGUGUAGCGGUGAAAUGCGCAGAUAUCAGGAGGAACACCGGUGGCGAAGGCGGGUCUCUGGGCCGAUACUGACGCUGAGGAGCGAAAGCGUGGGGAGCGAACAGGAUUAGAUACCCUGGUAGUCCACGCCGUAAACGUUGGGCGCUAGGUGUGGGGGCCAUUCCACGGUCUCUGUGCCGUAGCUAACGCAUUAAGCGCCCCGCCUGGGGAGUACGGCCGCAAGGCUAAAACUCAAAGGAAUUGACG